This 253-nucleotide ribosomal RNA is filed under the name uncultured bacterium. Its description in RNAcentral is "partial 16S ribosomal RNA". It matches the Rfam family "Bacterial small subunit ribosomal RNA", at positions 524 to 776 of the family's 1533-position model. The record is from RNAcentral.
UACGGGGGGGGCAAGCGUUGUCCGGAUUUAUUGGGCGUAAAGAGCGUGUAGGCGGCCAGACAGGUCAGCUGUGAAAACUCGAGGCUCAACCUCGAGACGUCGGUUGAAACCGUCUGGCUAGAGUCCGGAAGAGGAGAGUGGAAUUCCCGGUGUAGCGGUGAAAUGCGCAGAUAUCAGGAAGAACACCAAUGGCGAAAGCAGCUUUCUGGGACGGUACUGACGCUGAGACGCGAAAGCGUGGGGAGCGAACAGG